GGAAGAAAUGGAGUGCGACAGACUCCUUGAUUUUUGCUUGGCUGCUGAACUCUUUGACCCCCUGUAUUGUUGCUUCAGCUGAGGGGCUUCCAAAUGCUGCGGAGGUUUGGAGUACUUUGUCGAAAAUGUACUCGGGAAAGGGAAAUCUGAUGCUGAUGGCGUAGAUUGAGGAUGCUGUGCACGAUUUGCGUCAAGGUGAGAAGGACCUGAUGGUGUAUGUGGCUGAGUUGCAGCGUCUCUGGUCUGAUUUGGAUCACUGUGAUCCCCUAGAGCUUCCUCAUUCAGAGUGUGUGGUGACUGUUAAACAAUAUGUGGAACGCCGCCGUGUGAUGAAGUUUCUGAAGGGGCUGAACUCCUAUUUUGAGAGCAGACGUGCUACCUUACUGCACCAGCCCAAGCUUCCUUCCCUUGAUGAAGCUAUCUCAGCCAUGUCACAAGAGGAGGUCCGUCUAAAAUCUGCUGGACGCAGCGAACAGUCUCUGCAAUCUGCCUUUGCAAUGACAACAAGGAAUGAAACAAGAGACUGUUUUACCUGUGGAGAAUCAGGGCACUUGAGCAGAUUCUGUACUUCAUCAAUAAGGGGAAGAGGAAGAGGAUACAACUACAGAGGUGGCGGUUACAACCACAGAGGUGGUCGUGGUUGGGUUGGCAACAACAACAGAGGUGGCCGUGGCUGGCCGGGUUGCUGGUCCUUGGCAUGGAGAAGGGGCUCAUAGGGCAAAUAUGGCUGCAUCAAGUGAAGGCAAACAACCUGUAACCAGAGAGCCUAGAGAGGGAUCAGAAGCUACUACUUCAAGCUUUGGCAACUUCGCCAACUUUGUCGACACCAAUAAAGGAGAGGGUGACGAGCAGGAAGCUUGGGACUGGGACCAGGCAUAGCGGACUGUGGUACAUGGACCGCAGCGUGCCAAGCGAGGAUGGGAAUCAAGGACUAGUGGUUGUCACUGAAGACAAGGAGACUAGAGCUCUAAUCCAUCACUGUCGAAUGGGACAUGUCUCUUUUGACAAAAUGUAUCAAAUAUUUCCUGAUUUAAUGAGGGGUGUUGACAGAAGCAAGCUCAAGUGUGAUGCUUGUGAGUAUGCCAAACAUACUAGAACCUCUUAUGUGAGUAAGGGGAUCAGAAGUAUCUCUCCGUUUGUGUUGGUUCAUUCUGAUGUAUGGACAUGUCCAGUGGUAUCUAUAAGUGGCGCAAAGUAUUUUGUAACCUUUA
Long non-coding RNA from Lolium perenne, 1211 nucleotides. RefSeq lists it as uncharacterized. NCBI's taxonomy places the organism in Eukaryota, Viridiplantae, Streptophyta, Magnoliopsida, Poales, Poaceae. The record is from RefSeq and is a predicted model, not a curated record.